GUGUAACCAUGACAACAGGCUAAACUAGCUAGUUAUUGUGCGAUAAUCGCUUAGUAUUGUGCAGUUGGCCUUAAAAAGCGAUUCGGUCAACAAACUGCGCACAUGCUGCACACAAUAACCGAUAUAUCUGCACAUAUCGUAAACACUUCUUUUUCUGCAUCCGCAUCGCAGAGGAUAAGGGAAUCCCAGCCUUUUUCCUUUUUGACACCGCCGGGCUUCUGUACUCUUUUGAGACAAUCGCUGGUAGCAAACCAACCCUAACCCUCAGCCCCUUUGCGAACAGGUGAAAGUAUCCUCAGACAGUUUUCAUUUUGCCUUCUCACGAUGGCAUCGUCUGCAAUGAUCACAGUCCCCACCACAGCAUCCCGCUUUGCCCUGCUACAGAUAGAUUCAGAUUCGGAUUCGGACACCUCCGAGUCGGGGAAGGCUACCACCAAAACUGGACGGGACUCCUCUGGGAAGCCCCGACAAGGAAAAGCAGGUGCAGCCGGAGGGAAAGCUGCUCAGGGCAAUGACAAGAAGAAAGACAAGAAGAAGAAGAAGAAAGAGCAGCAGCAGAGUGAGGCAAAUGAGUUGCGUAAUCUGGCCUUCAAAAAGAUUCCUCAGAAAUCUUCUGCCCCUUCUCCCUGUAUGACGCUGUCAGGAAUAGCCGGUGAACUUCUCAAUCCUACGUCGGUGGACCAGGAUACACCGUCGGAGGGUUGGCAGCAGUGGAAGCAGAGAGACGAGCAGAUAACCACAGAACUAUAUGAGGCAGACUUGGAAAAAGCCUUGAUUUUAAGUAAACUGGAGUAUGAACAACAGAAGCAGAGCAACACAAACACGUCCUCGCCAAAGUCACGGUCAGGAAAAGAAGGUGGAGGCAAGAAGGACAAAAAGAAGAAUCAGCAGGCAAAAGACAAAAAGACAGUUUCUCUGCAAGACUUCCAGGCUGAAAGCAGUGCAGAAAAUUUAAGUAGAAAACAAGAGAAAGAGGACUCCAGAACGGCUAAUUUAGCACUGGGAGUCGGGCAGGACGAACGUUUUUUUAAUAAGUUGGAAGAUGAUGUCAGUCGGAUAAUCCAACGGGAGAAAAGACGCGAGCAGUAUACGAACAGCCAGGGACAAGAAGUCAGCACGUCAACAGAACACGAACCAGACCCCAGAGCGGAGCAGCUGAAGUAUGAGCUGGAGAAGAAAGAUCAGGAAAUUGAUAAGCUGAAAAAAAACAUUUCACAGUGGGAGGUAAAAUACAAAGAGGUGAAAGCAAGAAAUGCUCAGCUGCUGAAGAUGCUGCAGCAGGGAGAGAUGAAAGACAAAGCAGAAAUUCUUCUACAGGUAGAGGAGCUACUGCAUAUUAAAGAAGAGCUGUCUUCACAGGUAACAUUAUUGCACGCUGCCCUCGAACAAGAGAGAUCUAAAGUAAAAGGACUGCAGUCAGAACAACCAAAGCACCAGAAACUGUGGAAACCUAACAGAAAAACUUCAGCCUGUAAGGCAGGUAAAGUCAGAAAGUGUCAGCGUAAGUAAGCCAAAGGACAGAAACAUAAAGAGUUUACUCGGCCCAGUCAGGGGAGCAGUGAGCUUAGAUUCAGGGAAACAAGAAAGGGAAGAAGGGCUCAGAGGCAGAUCUAUGAAGGUUUCAGAAGGAAAAUGCCUGAAAACAAAAUGAAAUAAACAAAUGAAGAAACCCCUGAAGAAUAUUCCCACUAUUGAUCAAAAUCAGGGUUUUUUUUUUUGUUGUUGUUGUUGUUGUUAAAUCUUAGACUCCUGGUCAGUCUGUUUUGCAUGCCCUCCCUAAACACACACACACACACACACACACACACACACACACACACACA
RNA transcript from Maylandia zebra (zebra mbuna), 1823 nucleotides. It is a transcript of the gene named G kinase anchoring protein 1, with no coding region annotated. NCBI's taxonomy places the organism in Eukaryota, Metazoa, Chordata, Actinopteri, Cichliformes, Cichlidae. The record is from RefSeq and is a predicted model, not a curated record.